UUGUAUUUGUAUUCCUAGCAUUUGGUGCAUUCUUUGGUAUACGUUAAACUGCUUCAUAUGUGUAAUUGAUUCAGUUAAGUAGAGGCAAACCAAUGAGAAAUCAGGAAACGGCCAAACUGGGAGGACAGGGCUGCAAACAAACGAACCUGUUGAGCAUGUUUCUGUUCUUCUUGUCCUAAUUCUCCCUCUAGUGGCUUUUAGGAAACGUGCUCCCGACCUCAGAAGGGGAACAGCAUCUCCCAGAACCAGAUGAGAAAAACAGGAAGUCCCCAUCCUGGGUUAAAAGCACAAGUUUGGAGUGUCACCAUACCAAAAGGCAAUAUAUAAGAUAAUAAUAUAAUUCCAAGCAUCACUUCAUCCUUCCCCAACGUUUAUGCAAAUGUCUCUGGAAGGCUGAGCCAAGAUGUCGGAAUAAGGAAGGAACUUACUGAGUUCUCCCAAAUUAAUCUCCAAACAACUAUUUUUAAAAUGCCUCUAAACAAAUUCUGCAGACAAACAAAAUCAGCAGAACAACAAAAAGAUGAGGCAAAACAAUUUCUUGUCACAAGACUAUAGAAGGUUGGCAAGAAAAGAUCCAUUUCACUGAGGAAGAAGAGUGCUCCAUCCAGCAAACAUCUUUUCUCUCUCCAUCCUUUGGAUAGCAAACACAUCAACAUUAUAAUUUAUUGACUCCUGCUUCCCUAGCCCUUGAUCUGCUGCAACCUGGCUCUGACAUCAUUUCUACUGAAUGGAUCUUUAAAAGUUACCAACCCAGCUAACCUUGCAAGUAAGUGGUAACUUUAUAUAGUGUAUCUUUUUUUUUUUUUAAUUUCAGGAAUGUCGGGAAAUGCUCCUCUGUCCCUCUUAAGAAAUUAUUUCCCCUACUUCACUCAUUGAUGUCUAGAAUUCCACAGAUGCCCAAGCUUUUUCCUUCCAAAAUGGGCACUAUCCCCAGAAGAGAAAUUUAGAAUACCAUCAUUAAACAUUUUUGUUGAUCAGUUGUGGUCAAUUCUUCCAUGACCCUAUUUGGGAUUUUCUUUGCAAUGAAAAAAAUCUGAGGACAGAUUUGAACUUGGGUCUUCUUGACUCCAUCCCUGGUACUCUAUCUCCUAGAUGCCCCUCAUUAAAUAUAUUUCAGUGUAAAUGACUUUACAAGAUGCUUUCUUGAGAAAAGCUCUUGACAAUGGAAGGAUCAAGUGAAUGGAAGCUCUUGACAAUGGAAGGAUGUCC
RNAcentral lists this long non-coding RNA (1209 nucleotides) under Monodelphis domestica (gray short-tailed opossum). RNAcentral's name for it is "lncRNA (ENSMODG00000046772.1)". Lineage: Eukaryota; Metazoa; Chordata; Mammalia; Didelphimorphia; Didelphidae. The record is from RNAcentral.